CCCGGUGGUCACAGGCUCCAUCCGCUUGCCGCUGACGCGAUCCGUAUAGGCUUCUUUCGGGGCCACAGAGCGAAGAUAGAACAGGGCAAAGCCGAACGGCGGAUGCAUGAACGAGGUUUGCAUGUUUACGCCGAGGAUCACGCCGAACCAGAUCAGAUCGAUGCCGAGCUUUUCGGCCGCGGGGCCGAGCAGGGGGAUGACAA
RNAcentral lists this unclassified non-coding RNA (203 nucleotides) under Hevea brasiliensis (rubber tree). The record is from RNAcentral. Lineage: Eukaryota; Viridiplantae; Streptophyta; Magnoliopsida; Malpighiales; Euphorbiaceae.